UGAGCAAUCUGCCCUUCACAUCGGAAUAACCAUUGGAAACGAUGGCUAAUACCGAAUAUGACUUCGGAUCGCAUGAUCUGAAGUGGAAAGCUCCGGCGGUGAAGGAUGAGCUCGCGGCCUAUCAGCUUGUUGGUGAGGUAAUAGCUCACCAAGGCGAUGACGGGUAGCCGGCCUGAGAGGGUGACCGGCCACACUGGGACUGAGACACGGUNAGA
RNAcentral lists this ribosomal RNA (215 nucleotides) under uncultured bacterium. RNAcentral's name for it is "partial 16S ribosomal RNA". It matches the Rfam family "Bacterial small subunit ribosomal RNA", at positions 118 to 335 of the family's 1533-position model. The record is from RNAcentral.